UGUUUUUAGAGCUAUGAGGAUGGUGGGACCUGGGGAGAGUGUAUGGGCUCCUGAGGAAGCCCAAUAGGGAGAGAAAGAUCUUACGUGUGAGGAAGACCAUGAAAAGGGUUAGGAAGUUGGGGGAGUCCCCAGGACCCAGAGGCAGGGGCAGGAGGAGGUUUUGAGACUUGGGUCUGACAGUGGAGCACCACCUGUGCUGUGUCCUGGCUGUGGGAUGACCACGAGGGGACCACUGGACCAGGACUUCAUUUCCUUGUUGUCAAGGUGGAACAUCCUCCUUUCUUCCCUUCUAGGUUCUUUGGCUGGUCUAAUAAUUAAAUUAACAUAAGGCAGAUUAACAGGAGCAAAUGCAUUUAAUUACAUCUAUACUGCCACCCCACAAAGACGUAAGACUCAAAGGCAGUGGGACAAUUGAGGCUCACAUGCCAUCCUGAGCUAAGGAAGGGGGGCACUUGGGUGGCUCAGUGGUUGAGCAUCUGCCUUUGGCUUAGGUCAUGAUCCCGGGGUCCUGGGAUCGAGUCCCACAUCGGGCUCCCCUUAGGCAGACUCCUUCUGCCUCUGCCUAUGUCUCUGCCUCUCUCUGUGUGUCUCUCAUGAAUAAAUAGAUAAAAUCUUAAAAGGAAAAAAAAAAAAAGGAAUGGACAGGGGCCUGGGGCUCCAGAGGGAGGAGGACAAGUCACAGGAAGAUGAGAAGAGCAGAUGUUUGGUAAUCAGAUAUUGGUGUGGCCAUGCAGGUAAGUCUCUCUGACUAAAAAAAAAAUCUCUGGUAACAGCUCUCUCUCUCCCUAUUUCAAUUCUUCUAGUCCAUUAAAGAAGUAAAAAGCUUUUUCUGAGCCUUUUGGGUCUUGAUUGCUUUCCCCUCAAAUAAUCUACAUGCCAAAGUGGCACAUUUCUGAGUGAUGUAUUCUGCUGCCUUUCAUCGCCCACCGGGCCAGGGCUGGUUCCUGGUCCUGGGAAUGCAGAUCUCCGUGGCAGCUGGUGUUCUUAUGAGGGUCAGGCAUCUCAGUUUCGUCUGAGCUUUAGCUCCUGGCCAGCAUGUCUCCUGCCCAGAGAGAUUAAUGGAAGAUUCAGUCAGGAUGGGUCUGUGAACCAGCAUGAUUGCCCUGUAGGGCAGCGAGAUGGUCAAGGCCCACCCAGCACAAAGUCUAGAAGCAAAAUGGAGGAGACUUGCUGCUGUUCAUUCCCUCCCCACGCAUCUGAUCAGAGAGGAGAGUUAUGUAGGAUGGGGGACCCAGUCUCCAUUCAAUUCAAGGGGCUGCGAGCUGACAUAUCAGAGAAGCCACCCUGGGACCUUCUGCUGAAAUCAGAGACUAUUUCGAUGGCAGUGUCCUCCCCAAAACAGUCUGCCCUGAAUGCUGGCUUUGGCAUUAUUGCUGCUGGACCCUCAGGAUUAUGCUGUUAAACUCUUUUUUUUUUACAUUGUUGUGUGUGUUGUUGUUGUUUUUUUUUAAUUGAAGGUCCCUUACUGGUCCUGUUUCCAUGAGUGCCAAGACCAGGGGAAAAGGGGAGGCAGCGCAAGGAAGGGUCAUCUCCACAACAUUCCAUUUAUACACAGAACUAAACAGACAAGCACAGAGUCACUAUUGCAGUUAGAAGUUGGCAGCAUAGGAAAAGGGAGGAACAGGUGGGGAACUGGGGUGUCAUUAAAAAAAUACAGGCUCCCCCAAACUGGGGUGCCUGGGGGGAACUUGGUCUGCUUCAACCCAAGAGGAAUCAGAAGAUCAAAAAUGUUUUGAGAAAGACAGAACUGUCAGGGAUAGAGGGAGGAGGAAGGUCCAGGGGGUGAGGGGGCUGUUUGGCAACUGGGGUGAAGGGAUUGCCCUCCCGCUGCUGGGAUCCCCCCAGCCCCUCCAGUCUGGCAGGAAGGGGGCAGGCUACAACCCCCAUGGGCAGGUCUGGGGCUGCCAGAUGCUCCAGGCAGGGGGCUGGAGGGGGCUCACAAAGGCUUGCCCUCCAGAGAGAUGACGGCACUGCCCCCCAGUUUCUCUGCCAGGGUGCAGCGGUCCUUGACCUCCUCAUAGCAGUUUGCUUGUAACUCAUGCUUGAUCCCUGUGAGGAAGAAGGGGAGCAUCUGUGAGCAGGAUGCAUUGGGGGAAGGGAAGUCAGGGCUGGGAAGGAGCCAAUCAGAACAGAUGGAAGGGACAAGGUUACCUUCUAGCAGGCAGGGAAGAGGAGGGGGAGGAAUCUCAUAUACCACGGCAUUCAUCCCACCCUACAGCCAAAGCCUGAGUGAAAAGGUGNAUUUUGCCCUUAAGGGGUGCAGACUUGGGUGCUCAGAAGAUAAACACCAGGUCCUCCUUCUUGCUCUCCCUGGUCUCAUAGGUGCGUCAUAGAGGGCAUAGCGGCAGUCCUUGUCUGGUAGAUAGCAUCUUGACAAAGGUGGCGUAGGGGUCAUCUACAGU
This 2402-nucleotide long non-coding RNA is filed under the name Vulpes vulpes (red fox). RNAcentral describes it as "lncRNA (ENSVVUG00000025617.1)". Lineage: Eukaryota; Metazoa; Chordata; Mammalia; Carnivora; Canidae. The record is from RNAcentral.